UACGUAGGGGGCAAGCGUUGUCCGGAAUCAUUGGGCGUAAAGCGCGUGUAGGCGGUUCAGUAAGUCUGCUGUGAAAGUCCAGGGCUCAACCCUGGGAUGCCGGUGGAUACUGCUGGGCUAGAGUACGGAAGAGGCGAGGUGGAAUUCCCGGUGUAGCGGUGAAAUGCGCAGAUAUCGGGAGGAACACCAAUUGCGAAGGCAGGCUCGCUGGGACCGUCACUGACGCUGAGGAGCCGAAAGCGUGGGGAGCGAACAGGG
Molecule: ribosomal RNA, 258 nt
Filed under: uncultured bacterium
Lineage: Bacteria
Description: partial 16S ribosomal RNA
Rfam family: Bacterial small subunit ribosomal RNA
Source: RNAcentral